Molecule: non-coding RNA, 618 nt
Organism: Rattus norvegicus (Norway rat)
Lineage: Eukaryota; Metazoa; Chordata; Mammalia; Rodentia; Muridae
Source: RefSeq, a predicted model, not a curated record
UGCUCGCAUUCCUUGCCUCAUGGGCCUUGGAGAUCUCUCCAUCAAGAGCCUGCUAAAGAUUUCUCCAUCAGGUGUAGGCUCCAGGAACCUAAACGCAACAUGGAAGGAGGUCACCUUGCCUGAUAUCCUCCUAAGUCUUUAUUGAUAUUCUUGCUGGAUGCUAGUAUUGGUCAAAUCUGCUGCCUGGCGAGAGCAUGGAGUUAUGCCUCUUCAUGGACCCAGGUGGAAGGAGGCUUUAUCUCCAUAUUUCCAUAGUGGAUAGGGCAGCGGAAAGAAUUUCUGGAGAAGCACAUCUGCUCUCAGGUUUCUGUCUGGAAGUGACAUGCACAUCUUCUGAUCCCAAUUCAUCUAUCAAGAUGGAGACUGGGCUUGUCCCUGCACACAGCAGAUGCACCACCAACAUGUCUACCUGUUCCCCUCAUGAUGUGAUAUGACAUGAGUGCUGCAGGACUGUGUAUACCCCACGGCCACAACUGUGCCUUUAAAAUCCUGCACCUAACACCCACUGGUGGGGAAGGGGGAUGAUUUCAGUUUCAAAAAUCUGAGGAAGAUUUGGAAAUGUCUGGGGCCACGGCAUCUGGAAGUUUGAGCCAAUGAGUGCUGCUGGAUCCACGAGAG